AGUGAACGCUGGCGGUAGACCUAACACAUGCAAGUCGAACGGCAGCACAGUAAGAGCUUGCUCUUACGGGUGGCGAGUGGCGGACGGGUGAGGAAUACAUCGGAAUCUACUUUUUCGUGGGGGAUAACGUAGGGAAACUUACGCUAAUACCGCAUACGACCUACGGGUGAAAGCAGGGGAUCUUCGGACCUUGCGCGAUUGAAUGAGCCGAUGUCGGAUUAGCUAGUUGGCGGGGUAAGGCCCACCAAGGCGACGAUCCGUAGCUGGUCUGAGAGGAUGAUCAGCCACACUGGAACUGAGACACGGUCCAGACUCCUACGGGAGGCAGCAGUGGGGAAUAUUGGACAAUGGGCGCAAGCCUGAUCCAGCCAUACCGCGUGGGUGAAGAAGGCCUUCGGGUUGUAAAGCCCUUUUGUUGGGAAAGAAAAGCAGCAGGUUAAUACCCCGCUGUUCUGACGGUACCCAAAGAAUAAGCACCGGCUAACUUCGUG
This 491-nucleotide ribosomal RNA is filed under the name uncultured bacterium. RNAcentral describes it as "partial 16S ribosomal RNA". It matches the Rfam family "Bacterial small subunit ribosomal RNA", at positions 29 to 507 of the family's 1533-position model. The record is from RNAcentral.